UUUAAAGCACCUAUUAUUACAGUGUUUUUUUUUAUCAGUGCAUUACAUAAAGUUAUUAAGUGCUUCUGUCCUGUCACCUUCUUUGCUUCAGGCUUGAGUCCCAGAGCAGCAUGAGGAUUUACACUUCCGAAGCAGAAGAGUGAAUGGAAUUGAAGGAUUUAUGUGGAAGAUUCUGAAUUCUCCCCUUUCCUGCUCCAGGAAAGGCAGGGGCCUGCUCUGAGACCUCUGGGUAUGUUCCCUGUGUGCUACUGAAGCUGACUUGAACCGUGUGACAAAUGAGAUACAGGUGGAUCACUCUCUACCAGAUCUCAAGGCAAAUAUUGCUCUAUGGUCCUUGCUCUCGGCAACAUCUUCAGUGUCCUGGUGAUGGGGUGCCUUGGAAGGACUGCGCAGAACAAGCUUCAUACCACCUCUGCACUUCAGGCUCUCUGCACUGAGGCAAUGAACACAGACCUGUACUUCACACAGGUUUUGCCACAGGAGCCUUUCCAGCCCUGUCCCUGCUUGAACAGGGUCUGCCUGAACAUCCCUCAACAGCCGGCCAGAGCAGCCAGCAAGCCUACCAGAUGCUGCACAGAAGCAACACUGGCAGUAAGAUUAUUCCUUACACUAAAAUAAUACUUUAAAGUUCCUAUUUUGUCAACUGAGAUUAUAGCUCAAUUU
Molecule: long non-coding RNA, 663 nt
Filed under: Calidris pygmaea (Spoon-billed sandpiper)
Lineage: Eukaryota; Metazoa; Chordata; Aves; Charadriiformes; Scolopacidae
Description: lncRNA (ENSCPGG00000015651.1)
Source: RNAcentral